Molecule: ribosomal RNA, 422 nt
Filed under: uncultured bacterium
Lineage: Bacteria
Description: bacterial SSU rRNA
Rfam family: Bacterial small subunit ribosomal RNA
Source: RNAcentral
UAAGGAAUAUUGGACAAUGGAGGCAACUCUGAUCCAGCCAUGCCGCGUGAAGGAAUAAGGCCCUAUGGGUUGUAAACUUCUUUUAGACGGGACAAAACCCCUUUACGUGUAAAGGGUUGAUGGUACUGUCAGAAUAAGCAUCGGCUAACUUCGUGCCAGCAGCCGCGGUAAUACGAAGGAUGCAAGCGUUAUCCGGAAUUAUUGGGUUUAAAGGGUGCGUAGGCGGACUAAUAAGUCAGUGGCGAAAGCCUGCAGCUUAACUGCAGAAUUGCCAUUGAUACUGUUAGUCUUGAGUACAGUUGAGGUAGGCGGAAUGUGUCAUGUAGCGGUGAAAUGCUUAGAUAUGACACAGAACACCGAUUGCGAAGGCAGCUUGCUAAGCUGUAACUGACGCUGAGGCACGAAAGCGUGGGGAGCAAACA